UACAAAAAAGGCAAAUGUUGUUCGGAAUCACUGGGCGUAAAGGGAGCGUAGGCGGGUUCUUAAGUUAGGUGUUUAAUCCCUGGGCCCAACCCCGGACCGGCACUUAAAACUGGGAAUCUUGAAUAGUAGAAAGGUCAGUAAAAUUAAAAAUGUAGCGGUAAAAUGCAUAGAGAUCCCCAAGAACACCAAUUGCGAAAGCGGCUAACUAAACACAUAUUAACACUAAGACUCGAAAGCAUAGGGAGCAAACAGG
This 253-nucleotide ribosomal RNA is filed under the name uncultured bacterium. RNAcentral's name for it is "partial 16S ribosomal RNA". It matches the Rfam family "Bacterial small subunit ribosomal RNA", at positions 524 to 776 of the family's 1533-position model. The record is from RNAcentral.